RNAcentral lists this ribosomal RNA (433 nucleotides) under uncultured bacterium. RNAcentral describes it as "bacterial SSU rRNA". It matches the Rfam family "Bacterial small subunit ribosomal RNA", at positions 467 to 896 of the family's 1533-position model. The record is from RNAcentral.
UUAUGACGGUACCUGCAGAAGAAGCCCCGGCCAACUACGUGCCAGCAGCCGCGGUAAUACGUAGGGGGCGAGCGUUGUCCGGAAUUAUUGGGCGUAAAGAGCUCGUAGGCGGCUUGGCAAGUCACGUGUGAAAUCUCCAGGCUCAACCUGGAGAUGCCAAGUGAUACUGCCAUGGCUUGAGUCCGGUAGGGGACCAUGGAAUUCCUGGUGUAGCGGUGAAAUGCGCAGAUAUCAGGAGGAACACCAGUGGCGAAGGCGGUGGUCUGGGCCGGAACUGACGCUGAGGAGCGAAAGCGUGGGGAGCGAACAGGAUUAGAUACCCUGGUAGUCCACGCCGUAAACGUUGGGCACUAGGUGUGGGACCCUAUCGACGGGUUCCGUGCCGCAGCUAACGCAUUAAGUGCCCCGCCUGGGGAGUACGGCCGCAAGGCUA